CAAAAUAAAAUUUUACUCAAAAUGUAAGUACUAGAAAUACGAUUAACUCUUUUCAUUUACUAUUUCUCUCAGCAGCCGUCGUCACCACUCAGCCGACAGCCUCACUGCCUCAGCAAUCUCCCUGCCCUGCCUCCCCAAAGCCGCAACGCCCGCACGCAGCUUCCACACGCAGCUUCCACACGCCUGCGCUGGAGCCAACGACGCCUCCAAUCCCUCAUCGGAAAAGACAGUGUUUUUGGCAUGUUAUAAGCCAAUCAAAGGGAAAACAGAAAACAAAAAAAAAAAAAAAAAAAAAAAAAAGAAAGAAGAUGAAAUCGGUUGUGGCUGUUGUUGUAUCAAAUAAGAUGCAGAAAUCAGUGGUAGUAGCAGUGGACAGGCUCUUCCAUAACAAACUUUACAAGCGUUACGUCAAACGCACCUCCAAGUUCAUGGCCCACGACGAAAAAGAUCAAUGCAACAUCGGCGACAGGGCCGUUGAGCAACCGUAAGCACUGGGUUGUUGCUGAAAUUCUCAAGAAAGCUAGAAUCUAUAUGCCCCUAUUGGUGGAUACUGCUGCAAAUGCAAGUGUCAAGAAUGAAGCACCACUUUCUUCGACCUCUUAAGGUUUGACUCCACUUCAUUGUACUUGGUUGCAAAUUUCAAAGUUUGUGAUUUCAUUUGAAAAAGACUCAUUACUGUUAUUGUGGUGCUUGUGAGCAAUAAAUUGUUUAUGAAGGUUGGAAUUUGAGAAAAUUUCUGUUUUUGAUGUGUUAUGAGCGUCAUUAUAUUGUCUUAAAACCGUGGGACAGUUUGUCCAAAGUUUGAGAGCUGUUAGCAAAUACAAAGUUCCUAUUGCUAAAUGAGGUGGAAUGUGUCUCACGCUUUGAAUAGCUUCUUUGACACUGGUUAAUGAGCGAAGAAAGUUGUUUGCUGUGUUGUGAUCUGGUUAAUUGUUCUGGCAGUUUUUAUUGGAUAUAAUGAAUGUUUGAACAAUUUAGGAAUGAGUUAGCUGGUUUGAUGAUAGAGAUGAGUGAUUGAUGUACAAUCAUCUAGUUUAAUUCUAAUAGAAGGGUUGAUGAACUACGAUGCUUAAUUAUUCUAACAGACCUUAGUUUUCCAUUUUGUUUCUUAAUCUCUUGUAUGGCCUUGCACUUAUAUGUUGCAAUUUUCAGUCGCAAUGUAAAAUUGAAAGAAGACAUAAAAUCAUCUAGCGAUGCCAGCUUCAAUAGCUUAACGCUGCGUGCUUGAUGCAGCGUAAAAUAUUUGUAGGAUGAAACGGGGGAAGAAAGUAAAGGAAAU
Molecule: long non-coding RNA, 1279 nt
Organism: Durio zibethinus
Lineage: Eukaryota; Viridiplantae; Streptophyta; Magnoliopsida; Malvales; Malvaceae
Source: RefSeq, a predicted model, not a curated record